Molecule: ribosomal RNA, 478 nt
Filed under: uncultured bacterium
Lineage: Bacteria
Description: partial 16S ribosomal RNA
Rfam family: Bacterial small subunit ribosomal RNA
Source: RNAcentral
GACGAACGCUGGCGGCGUGCUUAACACAUGCAAGUCGAACGGGAUUUAGUAAACGGAAGCCUCGGUGGAAGAUUACUAAUGAGAGUGGCGAACGGGUGAGUAACGCGUGAGCAACCUGCCUAUGACAGUGGGAUAGCCUCGGGAAACCGGGAUUAAUACCGCAUAAAAUCGUAGAAACACAUGUUUCAACGGUCAAAGAUUUAUCGGUCAUAGAUGGGCUCGCGUCUGAUUAGCUAGUUGGUGAGAUAACAGCCCACCAAGGCGACGAUCAGUAGCCGGUCUGAGAGGAUGAACGGCCACAUUGGAACUGAGACACGGUCCAAACGCCUACGGGAGGCAGCAGUGGGGAAUAUUGCACAAUGGGGGAAACCCUGAUGCAGCGACGCCGCGUGAACGAAGAAGGUAUUCGUAUCGUAAAGUUCUGUCCUAUGGGAAGAUAAUGACAGUACCAUAGAAGAAAGCUCCGGCUAAAUACGUG